Acanthosepion pharaonis is the source of this 111-nucleotide non-coding RNA. The record is from the annotation of a GenBank genome assembly. NCBI's taxonomy places the organism in Eukaryota, Metazoa, Mollusca, Cephalopoda, Sepiida, Sepiidae.
UGGCUAUAUCAUGUUGAAACACCUGUUCCCAUAUGAUCACUGAAGUUAAGCAAUAUCAUGCAUGAUCAGUACCUAGUUGGGUGACUGCUUAGGAAUACCAAGUGCUGUAAG